This 1531-nucleotide long non-coding RNA is filed under the name Ictidomys tridecemlineatus (thirteen-lined ground squirrel). RNAcentral describes it as "lncRNA (ENSSTOG00000030291.1)". Lineage: Eukaryota; Metazoa; Chordata; Mammalia; Rodentia; Sciuridae. The record is from RNAcentral.
AAAGCUCUAGUUAAACAAAUUACAGUGUUUUCAUACUAGGCCAGUCAUUAAGUAUUUUAAGUUAAUGACCUAUAGUAGGAUGUUGAACAGGACAUAUUUUUUUUUGCUGUUGUUCCAGAACUGGCUGGAGUUAGAGGUGAUAAGUCAUCCAUAUUCUAAAGGUCACCACCUAUAGCACCUGGGGCUGAUGUGGUGGGCUCAGCUACCCAGCUAGCUGCUCAUCAUUCCCUCUGAUCCAUGUAUAUAUAUAUGCAGACCACUGUGAAAAUCAAAAGUUCAAAGAGAAUUCUGAGUCCUGAGAUGUCAGCCUUGUGAGGAAUACAGGAGCUUCCCAUUCUGUCCUCACAGGGGACUAUCCCUAAAGAGAAAUAAGAAAAAGGAAGCAGGCAGAGGUACAGACAAGAAGGGGAUCCUCACAUUUUCUUCUCUGCUCAAUACCUGCUUGUUUAGUAGAACUAUUUAUGCCCUCUGCAUCUAAUUUGAGCAGGAGAGAGGGGGAGAGAGAGAGGCAGCCAGAGAGAUAGAGACAGAGACACAGAAACAGAGAGCUAGGCAAAGAGGCCACAGCAUACAGGAGUCUGCCCACGUACUCUGGGGAAUAGAUAAGUGGGUUUCCUGUAGUGAAAUAAUAAUUGGAAUAUGGCUGGACUCAGGACACCCUGCUGGGUACCCUACCCAGGGGCUUGGCCACAAGGGAAAAGAUCCCCAGAACCAAGGGUGUAAACUGUUAAGUGUAGGAACUGAGAGAGGGUUGAACUCCUGCAUAUUUACCAUGCCAAAGACCUGUGCCCUGGGAAAGACUUCCUCUGAGGUCCUGAAGAAGCCUUGUGUGUGCCCUAUGAACAUGGUAGCCUUUUAAAUUCAUCACCGUCAGGACACCUCAAUUAGUCAUGUAUUUAUUUGCUUCAAUGGCCAAAACAGAGUACCUCAGACUGGCUUGCUUUAAAAGCAGAGGUUUAUUUUCUCAUACUUCUGGAGGGAAAAAGUCCAAAAUAAAGGGUUGGUUUCCUCUGGGGCCUCUCUGCUUGGUUUUACAUGGUCAUUGCCCUGCAGGCACAGCCCUGGUGUCUUUUUAUGUGCCUAAAUUUCUUCUUGGUCUUAUCUCUAACUUAAUCACCCUUUUAAAGGCCAUUUGCACUGUUCCUAAUAUGACAGUUUGUCAGCCCAAAAUGGGAGGGGGAAAUUGUUUUCUCCACUCUAGGGCUUCAAGAAUAAAUGAACCUUUCAUUAGCUGAGAAUUUGUAGGUGUGUACCUACUGGGAUUUUAAAGGGCACACAUUCUAUGACCAAAUAUGGCCUUGGCAUACAGACAACCUUGCAGGAGCCCUGGGUGUUACAACUUGAGUCUAAUGACGAAUGUCAUCUUACCUUGUUCUUACCAUGACAUAAGCUUUGUGCACAGCUUGGAUAGUUCUUCAGUUGGGCCUGUGGGGCACAACCUCAGUCUUCCUUCUGUUGGCUAGUAGCAUUCUGGUUGCAUCUAGAAAGAGAUAAAUUGCAAUCUGAAAAAUCACAGUCACCAAGUAACAAA